Coturnix japonica (Japanese quail) is the source of this 1730-nucleotide long non-coding RNA. RefSeq lists it as uncharacterized. The record is from RefSeq and is a predicted model, not a curated record. NCBI's taxonomy places the organism in Eukaryota, Metazoa, Chordata, Aves, Galliformes, Phasianidae.
AAAAAAGAAAAGCAUCUCAGUUUCCUUCCAUUUUACGAACGGCUAAACUUCUAUUUUGACCUGCUGUGGUGUGAUGGGUGGGAGGAGGCCAGAAAGGAUGUCAUACGGGGUAUUACUGCUUCAGUGUGUCCAUUUCGAUCGCAGAUCUGAAGACAUUUCUUCAAAAUGGCAAAUAAGGUGAUUUAUGCAGAGUUAUCACCUGAGCAGAGAGUGCAUUAUACUUCACCGACUGCAAAUGCAGGUGACAAAGUAACCUACGCUGAGGUGAAAAGGAGGCGUAAAUCUGACACCUCGGACAGUGUACCAAAGACUACGCAUCAAACAGCCUGCUCCAAGAAUGCGCAAUGGUGUUACGUUGCCAUCGUCCUGUACUUCCUCGCAGUGAUUCAACUCAUCACUGUGGUCCUCUUAGCACUGAAAUGUUAGCCCUGAGACAGAUGAUAUGGCACUGUUGACAAAUGGGGAAAUUCAGAUCAGAAAGGCUCUGCUUCUUCAAUAAAACAAGACAAAAUAAGACAAGAAUAACUAUGAUGUUUUUUCCUCUGCAUAGAUUUCUAUGGAAGAAGACAUGCCUACAGUCUGACCACUCUUCAGUUACUUCUUCCAGGAUUUUCAUGAAACCUUUAACCUCUCUGUAUAUGGGAAAAUAUAUAUAUAUAUAUAUAUAUAUUAUUGAUGUAAUAAUACCAGCAACCACCACUUGGUAUCAGUGCAUGUAACAAGGCUUUAGCUCAAGCUACUGCAUCAUAAGCUGGAUCUAAGUCUUGCCUACACAAAUGACCAGGAGGACCCUUUGGAAACCUCACUUUUAUUUCACAUGACUUGAAUUUACAGUAAUCUGUCAUGUAGAUAAGCUUUUAGGUUUUGAUAUGAUCAAGUGCAAAAAUACAUGGAUAAAAUAGAGAAUGUAAGUGGUUGCACUAUGUGGGUGUUUUUCUUAGUGAGAUCCAUACCCAUAUGUGAUUUUUACUGUUCUGAUGGGUUUUGAUGAGAUUUAUAAGAGUGGAGUACUGAAGAUGAAGGAACUUAAUUAGUUCAUCAGAGAAGUCUCAGUCUCAUUCCCCCAUAGGAAUGAAUAAAAUUAUUCUGUUCUUCUUGUCCAGAGGAGUGUUUCACAGAGUCACAGUACGUUGGUUCUGUCUUGGAGCAGUAGUUCAUUUUUUCUUUCCAUUCUUUUCCCAAAUGUUGUAGCUUCAGUUAAGUCAGAGUCCUUCAAUAGUGCUAAACCACCUCAGAUUCAAACAAAUUUGUUUGUAAUUAGUAUUUUGGUGUCUGUUUUUCUUUAUUUUGAAUUUUCAUCCAUUAUAAUUCCUCUGAGACAUGCUGUUGUCAAUGAUUUGCAAUUACUGAAUAGAAGGGACUACAUAGUAUAGCAAAUAAUUGUAGAACUGUUCCCUAUGGCUAAGAUUAUCUGUACAUAGGCUAUGUUUUUGCUGUUGUUAAGAUUCUGUGUUUUUAUCAUAUAUUUACCAAAAAUCAGUAAAGGAAUCUAGCAAAGCACUUGACAUACUCAUGUUUAUUCUUACAGUAGUUAGAAAUUUAGCAAGACUAUGACUGUAGCAUUUCUGAGCUUCCAUCAUGAAGAAAGGUGCUAAUCUGAUGAGUCCUUUCUAAAGACAGAAUCCUUGCCUCACAAUGCAAUCAUAGCAGAUCUUUGGGAACUUCAGUGGCAGACCCUACCAUCUGAGAGGUGCAUUGCAUAGACAACUGAGUAAGAAGCGUGCAUGCGA